This 252-nucleotide ribosomal RNA is filed under the name uncultured Bacteroidales bacterium. RNAcentral's name for it is "partial 16S ribosomal RNA". It matches the Rfam family "Bacterial small subunit ribosomal RNA", at positions 524 to 776 of the family's 1533-position model. Lineage: Bacteria; Pseudomonadati; Bacteroidota; Bacteroidia; Bacteroidales. The record is from RNAcentral.
UACGGAGGAUGCGAGCGUUAUCCGGAUUUAUUGGGUUUAAAGGGUGCGUAGGCGGGCUGUUAAGUCAGCGGUAAAAGCCCGGGGCUCAACCCCGGCGAGCCGUUGAAACUGGCUGUCUUGAGAUGUCGAGAGGUAUGCGGAAUGCGCAGUGUAGCGGUGAAAUGCUUAGAUAUUGCGCAGAACUCCGAUUGCGAAGGCAGCAUACCGGCGCCCAACUGACGCUGAAGCACGAAAGCGUGGGGAGCAAAUAGG